RNAcentral lists this ribosomal RNA (250 nucleotides) under uncultured Gammaproteobacteria bacterium. Its description in RNAcentral is "partial 16S ribosomal RNA". It matches the Rfam family "Bacterial small subunit ribosomal RNA", at positions 524 to 773 of the family's 1533-position model. The record is from RNAcentral. Lineage: Bacteria; Pseudomonadati; Pseudomonadota; Gammaproteobacteria.
UACAGAGGGUGCAAGCGUUAAUCGGAUUUACUGGGCGUAAAGGGCGUGUAGGCGGAUUUGUAAGUCAGACGUGAAAUUCCUGGGCUUAACCUGGGGCUGUCGUCUGAGACUGUGAAUCUAGAGUGAAGUAGAGGGUAGUAGAAUUUCCGGUGUAGCGGUGAAAUGCGUAGAUAUCGGAAAGAAUACCGGUGGCGAAGGCGGCUACCUGGACUUUAUCUGACGCUGAGGCGCGAAAGCGUGGGGAGCGAAC